GCCGAGGUGGAGCAGCCUAAGCCUGUGGAGGCACCGGCCCCGGAAGAGCCGCAGCGCAUCCCAUCUCCACCGCCAUUGCCACAGGAGCCACCGCGCCGUCCGUCUCCACCACCAUUGCCACAGGAGCCACCGCGCCGUCCGUCUCCACCUCCAUUGCCAAAGGAGCCGCCGCGCCGUCCGUCCCCACCUCCAUUGCCCAAGGAACCACAGCUCUUUCCCUCGCCACUUCGAUUUCCACUGGAGCAGCG
This 248-nucleotide long non-coding RNA is filed under the name Setaria italica (foxtail millet). RNAcentral's name for it is "long non-coding RNA (SITA_LNC001617)". Lineage: Eukaryota; Viridiplantae; Streptophyta; Magnoliopsida; Poales; Poaceae. The record is from RNAcentral.